Long non-coding RNA from Passer domesticus (house sparrow), 14070 nucleotides. RefSeq lists it as uncharacterized. The transcript has 4 exons. Lineage: Eukaryota; Metazoa; Chordata; Aves; Passeriformes; Passeridae. The record is from RefSeq and is a predicted model, not a curated record.
CUUGUAAAUAUGUAAAAUUGUCACGUAUUUCAUGCUGGUAAUUUAUCGUGGACGUGAACUGCCAGUUUUUGCUUAUGCAACUUUAUUUCAAAGUCACAAAAGAGGAUGGGAAGAAUGGGAAAAACACUGAGUGAAGGAUGAUUUGUGCUAACCUGGUGACAUUUAUCAGCUGUUGGGCUGCUUGCUUUUACCAGCUGCACUGGCACAGCCAAACACCUCAGGCUGUUGUUGUGUGUCAUAGCAGAACAUUCCCAGCCAGGUAAUAAUUAGCAUUGACUCCAUGAUUCCAGAAGACUGACCAAACACUUUAUUAUUCUAUAUUAUUAAGAAACCCUUUGCCUUUAUAGACAACCACAAUACAGGUCGACCUAAUUGGUCCUUUAAUUAAAACACCAUCACAGUUGGCCAAUUAAGAAACCACCCUUUGCCUUCCCCAGGACAAUGCCUGGGAAAGUUGUGCCUGCUGCUCUCUGUGGCCAAAGCUGCUGCCACAGCUCUGUGGUGUCUGCUGUGUUUUGGGGUGCCCCGAGGAGCCAAUUUCAGCACUUACAAAGGACCUGCCAUCGCUUGAGCUGGACCAUGUAGAGCACAUACAGAAACCAGGAGGCAAGUGGUAAUGUAAGCUCACCUGGGAGUUACACUUGACCUGAGGUUUCCUCCAGUUCUGUAUAAUGAACUCGAGAGAGUGGUGCUUGAUAGCUCGUAUUAGCAGCUGGGAAUUAAAACUGAUAUUGCUAAGCAGCAAAUACAGUGGCAACAGAGAGGAUUAGAGGAACAGGCACAGCUCAGGACUGAAAUAUUAAUCUAAUUAUUUACAAUUCCAGUUAUGCCCAAUGCAUGAACUGAAUGUUCAGCAGCACCUGGAGUGUUUGCUACCCACUGAGCUCCCAGCAGCAAUAGUUUUCAGAAAUUUGAGAGAUUGUUUUUAAAGGAGAUCCUAAACUCUAUGGUGAAGCUGCAUUUGCUGUAACUCCAGGGACAGAAGAAAAACCCCAAAGUGUCAAAUACUUACCAUGACGUCUGUGGAAGAUGAAACACUACAAUUUCCAGCUGAACAUUAAAAACCAAAAAACCAAAACUGAAACAUUUGUGAAUAGGUACUAAUCAAAACCCAGUGUCAGCAAAAUAAUAAUAUUCUUGAUAAAGAUUCAAUUGAAAAAUACUAAGAAAAUAUUGCAUCUUCCCAGAAGCUGUACUGGUGCAAAAAUGGUAUGAUUCACCCUUGCAAAAAGGAUAUGGAUAAGGGAAUGGAUGCUUUGAUCCCUGCAGAACAGAGCAGAUGUAUGUGCUUCACGUUACCCACCGACUGUGCCACCCUGACUUUCAUGUAUGGUGUGCUGUGUGCUUUGCUGGAGCACCACCUCAUUCCCAGGAAAUGAUGAAUCACAAAAUCACACAGAAUGGGUGAAAGGGAUCACUGGAGGUCAUCUGGUCCAGCCUCCCUACUCCCCUAAAGCACAUCACUGAGGAAUGUGUGGAAACCAUGUGAGUAUCUCCAGAGAAGGAGACUCCACAACCUCGCUGGGCAGCCUGCUCUGUGCUCAGAAUGAACAGGAAGCUUCACUUUCCAGACCUCUGGAUUUUUCACAGCUUUUGUGACUGCAGAGGUGAAAGCAGUUGUAACAUAUUCUUUUCCUUUGGGGGUUUUUUUAUCUUUUUGGCAUCCCCAAGGCAGCAAGUGUGCUGAAUACAACGUGUAUACACACUCCUUGCUGUUCAAGGCAACAUUAGGUUGAAGGAUGGGGCUUGCAGAGGCAGUGUCAGAGCCCAGAGUUGGCCAUGUGUUUGCCCUCCCUGCUGGAAGUGGCUGAAGUGGCACUGUGUGUCCUUGUGCAGGUGUGGAGCUGCAUGGUGGCCUCAUGGUGUGUGCCACGCUCAGGAUGGCACCUUCUCUGCCCUGGCUGGCAGGGGUUGCUUACCCUGACUCAGGCUGUUAAAGAUCCUGGGAGCUCUAUGCUGAGGAGAGUAGAAUAUGCCCAAGGGAUUUGCUUUGUUUCACUUUCUGUUUUACUUAGUACAAAGGAAAAUACUUCCCAGUAGAAGCCCGUGGGAGCAGCUUUUGUCUCAUCUGGUUUUGCUGUUUGAGAAUCAGAUGAAGCCAAGAAGAGUUUCUGCAAGAGCAGCCCCAUGCUCAUGGAAACAGAGUGGCAGGUUUCACUGUGCCAGUUUGUACUUUAGAGAACUGGACGGGGGGGAGAAUGUCUACAGGCUGGGACUGCCUAAAGCUUUCUUAAAUUCAGUCAUGCCCCUGGUCCCCAGAGUGUGCUGUGGGUGGCACAACCCCUUUAUCCAUUUUUAAUGUUGAAAUUCAGUUUGAAAUGAGAGCAGGUUGAAAUCUUGUGCCUCUCUAUGCCAGAGAAAACACUGAGUAAGUUCAAAUAGCCCAGUAUUUAUUAUCCCUGUCAUGCUCCAAGGUUUAAAAAGAAAUGAUAACCUUUUUUCCCCUCCCAAACUGUAUCUUGCAGAAUCAUUUCCAGAUUCUGUAGCUGAGAUGUAAAUGUGAUGGAUGUGAUGGAAUUACUGAGUUGACUAACACGACCACAUUAAGUAAUCUUAAUGACACUUGGACUAAUUGCUUGGGUACACUGGUGUUUUCUAAGUUUUAAACUUAUGAAUCCUGCCCACACAUAAUCUGCGUGCUUCACUGAUCCUUUUCUCCCUUGCCUCUGUGGAGAACCUCUGUCCCUGGCCCCUUGAAAUAAGUGCUCAGUCAUACAUUCAGCUGGACCUGUUCUGUGAGGGCUGCUGCUCAGAGUGAGCAAAGAGACUGGGAGAAAACAACCUGCAAACCAGCAGUGUGUUGAAGAGAGAAAGAGAAAUUCCCAUAAAUUACAUGUAUUUGAGGAAUAUGUGUGUUCUGGGAAAUAAAGGUAAGCAAGUUGAAGACGGUUCCAUGCUGCGUUAUUUCAGCCCAUAUUCAGUACAUUCUAACAGCUCCCAUUUCCUACCUGAGUCAGGUUCAACACAUUCUCCAAUUGCCAGGAAAACAGCAAGUUAUAUGGAAACACUGAGCUGCUGGUAUCUGAGGCUGGACCCAGAGACAAGCAUGAGUUGUUGUCAACAUACAGAAAUGCAGAUUUACUGUGUGUAAUAUUUUUUACAAUGGUUCAAAAUUAUGUGAUCUAGAAAUCAAUAGUGUUGAUAAUUCUAAUGAGAAAAAGUAUAAAGAUUAUCAAUUUUAAUGUGGUGUUAGAGGAGAAGCUGAAGGCUUUGAUUCUACUAUUUUUUCCCCACAUCUUGUAGAGAACAGGCUGCUGCUUUGCACACACAUAUAGCAUACUAAUAAGAUAUUAUUUUCCACCUCUCAGAUCUCUUUUGAAUUCAAAUAUACCUAUUAGCACCUUUACAACUCAGCUUAUGCAUAUCCCAAGCCUAUGUGAUUAACUAUUUCUACUGUACCAUUUGGUGGGUGGCAUUGCAAAUUACAGAAUAACACAGGGAAACAGAGUUUUCUGCUGUGGGUCUUAACACUGUGUAUGGAAAAUGCAGAGAAGCAAAAAAGGAGAGAGAUUUAAAGUCAUUUGGAUGUGCAUUAUUUAAGCUGGCAGGGAUUCAGGGCUUGUAAUUUUAAGGCUGUGUAUGGGUCAGGGUGGUGACUGGUGAAGGGAAGCCUUGAUAAGGGUUUUGAAGGCUGUUUCAGGAGUAGAGGUCAGCAGCAGUACAAGUCUGAUGGAGGAAAUGUGUGUGGUGAGACCUGUGCCCCAAAGGAAGGUGCAGAGUGAGAGCUGGCUCAGGACAGUCAGCAGGGAGGGCAUUACCUCUUCUGACUCUGGGCUGAGGUAUUUGGCUGUUCCUGCUGUAGCAAGAUGAUGGUGGAAGAUGGAGACAGACUUUGCAUGGGGAACUGAGGGAGGAAGAACAAGGGAAAAAAGGGAAACAAAGAGCUUGUUUUGGUGUGACUGUGAGAUGUCACAGUGGUGAGGCACACCUGCCUGCACAGCCCAGUGCCACCUCUGGGAGCACCCUCUUGUCUGGCUGUGGAGAGCUCUUGGUGUGGGUGAGAAAGGCAGUGAACUCACUCUGCUGCUCUGCUAAACAGCUCCUCCACGAGCUUUGUGGGAGCCUGGGGCUGUCCUCACCUGGCUUCUGAGAGCAGCUUCAAUACCUGAACAGUCUUAUCAUGUUUUAUGUUUCCAGGCAACUUUGAAAGCUGCACUCCACUCCCAGGAGGGCAUCAAGGGUCUUUCUGCUGAAGACAAUAAAGAGUGAGUCAGGUCUGCAGGCUGCAUCAAUCUAGGGCUUUUUUUUUUCAUCUUAUAUACAAUUUUUUUCCAGGAGACAAAAAUAAAAUGUUGGCUUUUCUGAAAUGUGCUGUUGGUGGGAUGAUCCAGCUCUGGCAGUAGAACUGGGGUAUGGCAAUAUUGACUAUCAUCUGCUGCACUGCUCUCAGAGUCCUGGUGACUCUCAAGCUAGUGUUAAAACUAGCUUAAAACUGACCUGUCUUGAUGCUUUCCUGCUCAGAAACUUUGGCAUUGUGGCUGAAGAAGAGAGGAUUAAUUUGUCAGGAGGUGCUGCUGGUUACAUUUGAGGUAUGGGCCUGCACCACCUACUGCAAGGGUAUAAAACUGAAUUGUUUCCUUACUUCUCCUUGAAUUUAGCACCAGUUCUACACUGUUUUCUGGAAUGAUGACCUACUCUGCUUCUCAUUUCUGGGGGCUGGUUUGGACAAGCAUCUGUCUGACCCUGAUCUCCAAGUGUUGCUUUUCAUUACAGCCCAGAUGGGGCAGGGACUAUGUGCUCUUCUAGGCUUACCUCCAAAGGACUCUCCAGAGACUUCAAAGCAGUGUUCACUAUGGUUUCUACUACCUGCAUGGAACAGAUGUUCCAAAUUUUGGGGCCUUUUUUGAAGAUAUUACUCUUUUUUUUUUUUUUUAAUCCUUAAAGUCCUUGUUGUUAAUGAAGUUGCUUGCUAGGGACCUUUUGUAGAGUACUGUUGUCUUUUGUCCUGUAACCUGCUGGCUUGCUGUCACCAUGGGCCAUAGCCAUAGAAAAAUGUCUGCCUUUGCCUUUAGAGUAGUGAUGCUUAGUGGAUUUGACAGUCAAGUAGAGUUGCAACAUGAGCAACUCCUGAAGUUAGGUAAGUCUGAGAGCCUCACUGUUAUCCUAAACUCCGUGAGCUCAGUUUAACUUGGAUGCUCUUUAGUCUGGUACAAGACUGAAGCCAGUGUCAACAUUUUAAAGUAAAUCCAGUUCAUGACUUGUCACAUUAUAAGAAUAGCCCCAUUAUGCUCAAGCAAAGGCCCAUCCAGCUCAGCAUCCUGUUUCUGACAGUCGCUGAGAAUUAAGGAAAGGGUGUAACUGCAGGGCAAGUAUUGAGUGAUAUUUCCCCAGUAUGUUCUCCCACCCCUCAGCAGUUUAUGGCUUAAAGAUUUUCUGAUCUCUCUGUUUAAUAAGUUUUUGUGGCCUUAUCUUUUGUAGAUUUGUCAGAUUCUGCUUUUGCUUUCAGCAUCAGCAGCACUUCUGGCAAUGAGUUUAGCAACUUCAUGAUUCACUCUGUCAGAAAGUCCUUGCUUUUGUUUGUUUGAAAGCCCUGGCUGAAGAUUUCAUGUGAUACACCCCUCUCAUAUUUUGAGAAACAAAACUUUUUAUUCAUCUCUUUCAUGCCACUCAUGAUUUUAUAGAGCUCUGAUGAGAACCUAAAGUGAAUGACUUUUAGUAUGAUUUAAGGCUCUGUAUUAUGUCUUAUGCUUUCUGGCUGUUUAUAUUCCAUUUGAUUUUACUUUAUGUUUAUUUUGUCUUUAUUUCACAAAUUUAAUCAUUUUGAGAAGAUUAUUUUUUCUAAUUAAGGUAGAAUUAAUCCAGGGGCAGUGAUAAUUUGAGAGCCAGGAUUUGAAGGUAGUUUAUUUAAUCUGUCUUCAAAUCCUUUGGAUUCAAUUUGCCCAGCUUUCAUACUGAUGGAUGCUGUAUUAAAUUAUUUAAAUAGAUGAAUUAAAUUUGGAGCAAACAGAGGCUAAUGCAUUUCACCCUCAAAUAACACGCCUCUGUAGCCAGGGAGCUUUUCUAGGAGAACUGAGGAGACAGCAGUGAGCUGGAAGCACUGUAUGCAAAACAGGGGGUAAGGGCCACACAAAAACCCCUUUGAUUUAUCCUCUAGAACUAAUUUGUCGAUUCCUUGUGGUCACAUUAGCAGACUGGAGCCAAGAAAGAAACCUCACAGAGAUUGACCAUGUGAGCUGAAAUAAUAAGCAGCUGUUGCUCAAGAGAAAGCUCAGACCAGACUUGCAGAAAUGUAAUUAGCAGCAUGCUGGCUGAGCUGUUUGCAUUCCUAGAGCCUGCAUAGUGCCCUUCUGGGGGGCAGUGGUAAUUUUUAGUCUCUCUUUUGGAGAAAGCAUCUUUCUCUCUAACAAUCAGGGCUGGAAAGGUAUAAAAGAGAUGGGAAAGAGUGGAAUAUACUCUGCAGUACUCAGGGACACUAGAUGGGGAUAUUUGCUCACUUUGUGGCUCUUGGUGUCCCUCCCAGCUUUGGUGGGGAUGUUACCAAGGUGCAGGGAGGGCUGGUGACAUGCAGAGGAAGGGACAGAUCAGAGGGGGUUGCAUGGGGGGACCUGUGAGGAAUCUACACCUUCGUUGCCAUUUCUCACUCUGUGGUUUCCAUCUCAAACACAGCUGGUCUGUACAGCUCAGGACAUGCUGAGGUCUCUCUUCUGGCUGUGAAACACAGCUCAGCAUCAUGUGGGACAGCGUGGUCAUGGUUCUUCCUCUGCACUGGGAGGAAGAAGGGCCAAAUCUUUCCUAUGGGAGAGGGAGAGCCAAAACCAUGGCGAUGUUCCUUUGUGGGCCCAAAGCAUUGCUGCUGUAGGUGGCAUUGGUGUGUUUGUGAGGGCAAAAAAGGGGCAUGAAGCUACUUUUUGUAUUCCUUUGCACAUGUUUGGCUUGCCAAGUCGCUGUUGUUUAAAGCAGGAGACUCCUUCCCUGCCUCAGAAGUCUUGGCUGCCUGUGAAGUGUGAGGCAGGGUGAAGAUGGGCUGCUGAGCCAAGUGUCUGACAGGGACAGACUGCUGCCUUUGCAGCCCCUGGCAGAGCCCCUGGGCUGGAGUGGGCUUUGGGCAGGCCCAGAGAAGAGCACAGUCACAAGCACGGGGAUUCACGUGUCACUGGUACUUGGGACAGAUUUCAAAGGUGCCCAUGGGAUGCAAGGUAGAGCUGAUGUGUUCUGGCUCUGUGGGAUGCUGGUGGCAGUGUUGGUAAAUGCUGUUGCAUAUAUUCUCUGCGUGGUCAGGCUGAAAAAAGGACUCCAAAGAAAAUAAGAAAGCCUUGAAUUCCCUUGUUAGGCUGGUGAGUGGAAAAUGGGAAAAGAAGUUGUGUUGUUGAUAGCCUUUGAAAUCCAUAAAGGACAGACCAUAUCUCUUACUAACAAUCGUGGGACAGAUGUAAUAAAAACAACUUGCUUGAAUCAAAUAUCUACAUUUAGUGUAUUAGGAAGAAGCUCUUUUGAUUUUUUUUGUGUUUUAUUUUGUUUUGUUUUUUUGUGUCCAUAUACACUCAGAGGCAGAGGUUCUGGGUGACAACCAUUUGCCAAUAUCUGCUGAUAUCAGAAUUUGUUUCAGCCUUGAAUAUAAUAUUGAAUGGUCAGUGAAGUCAAAGGAUAGAGAGAAAGCUGCUGAGCCAUAGAUGGGUCCCCAUGUUUGCUCUGACAUUAAACACUCCCAGUGUCCUCUCUCACCACCUCUGAUUGCUGUUAUUCCCAGCAAGGAAGUUGUUAAGUCAUAGAUUCCAGAUGACUGUUAAGGUCUCUUCCAAUCCAAACCAUUCUAUGAUUUUACUUCCCAAAGAUCAUUUGAGGUAAAGAAAACAGAUUUUCUCCAAGUCCCCUUUUGUAUUCUAGAAAUUUUAGAAAGUUCAGGCUUUGGUGUAAUAAAAGGUAUAGUUGAUUUUCAGAAGUAACAAAUAUCCUUUUUUUCCCCUACAUAGGUUCGCACCUUCAUUGUACUUCUCUUAAGGCUUGCCUAUUGCAGGUUUUGUCUACAGCCUAGCAUUCAGCAUACAAACACCUUCUGUGUAAAAUUAACAACUGGUGGAAAUGUUUGGCUGAGCUAGUGGAGGUUUUUACAUUUGCCUUUUCAGAAGGCUUCCUGAGCUAGAUUAUUUUUCUUGGUUCAGUUUCUGACUCUUAUUUUUUUCUCUUUAGCUUUGACAGUAUAUGUUUAGAUGAAAAAAAAAAAGGGGUGGAGGAGCUCUGUGAGUGACUCCUUUGAUGAAACAUUAAUUGGUAUCUACACAUGUAGAGGUAGCAAACUGCUAUUCUUGAAAUAGGAUCUCUACCCUUUUUUGUGUAAGGGCUUGCAUUUCUGAAAGGGAUGAAUUUCUUAAGCUUAUUGCUUUGGAUUUUUUUUCAAGUGGAAACAGAGUUUUCUCUUCAACAAACUCCAGUCUCCAAUCCCUGACUUUGGGCUUGCCUACAUUUGGAAAUGUACCAAAAUAACUAUUCCAGAAUAAGAUCCCAGGAGGAUAUUUUAGAACUAGAUUAAAUUAAAUUGGAAAUAAGAACUCUUAUUUUGGAAUAAGAGUGUCUGCUUGGGGAUUUAUAUUGAAAUAAACUGUCUCAGAAUAAUUGUAACUAUUUUGGUAUAUUUCCAAGAGCAGACAAGAGCUGAGCAAUGUUCUGAAAUAAUUAUAUUAAAAUCUCAUGGAUGUGAUGGAUAAUGGGGAAAAAUGUCAAUACUGAAUUAGAAAAAUUUGGAGUGAUUGUGUCUGAGGGUGUCAUGCACUUGUUCAGUGGGGUUUUUUGAGUUUAAGCAAAAGAUCCCACCCUUCAGGCUAUGUAUAUAAUUUGUUAUUAAUAUUUUAGUAGCAACACUACUGUGCUAGGAACAGUCUUACAGACACAGGUCCCACCUCUGCACAACCUGCAGUCUAGAAAUCAUCCCUUUUCUUUGUAAUGCUAUAGAUGUCAGCAUGUCUGUUUUCCAGAUAAAAUAAGAGUUCUCAGCUCUUCAUAACGCUCCUUCUUUAAAACAUUGUUUAUAACACUCCUUGUUUGUAAUACUUAUAACACUCCUUGUUCAGGCAAAACUGCUACUUAGGUUUGUUUUAUUUUCUUGAAGGAAAACAGAAGAGGAUAAUUACAAGAAGACAGAAAUGAUAAAAACCACGCGUUUAUUCUUUAUUUGUAGUUACUGUGCCACCCCUCUCUGCUUGGGUUGCUGUAGGUGGCACGUGAGUCAUUAUUGGUAAGACAGAGUCAUUAUUGGUAAGGCAGAAGCCAUCAUGUGCUUCAUCAGUCCUGUGGCAGGGAGCCAGUACAGAUGUGAAAUGAAUAUAUCAUCCCAAUGUACAAACACACAGGCUGUAUGGAGUGCUAGUCUAAAGCAACACUUUCUCAUUCAAUAAGGCAUGCUCACAGCUGAGAAAGUUUUGUUAUCUGCCUGGGUAAGAUUUUUUUUUCUCCCUUUAGGCACUUUCAUUUGUGCCUUGAGUGGAGGUUGCAGGAAUUUUCUCUGUGGCAAGAAAAGGUCACACACUGUAUUUACUCAUAUUCUAAUCUCCCAGGUACAUUCAAUACUAUUUUGGUUCCAUACUGGAGGUCUGAAAGAAAAAGACAUGGAAAUUCAGUGGCACAAUUUCAAGGUUAUCCCACAGGCCAGCAAAUCCAAAAUGUGAUUUUUUCUUCCCUUUAUGAUACGUCAUAAUAGAAUAAGUUUAUGUAGUACGAAAGCGAAAGGCAGUUUCUCCCUAUCAAAUUAUCAUAUCUAGCAUCAAGCCUGUGCUUGAAGGUAAUUCUAGCUAAUCCUUUGUAGCAAUAAAUAUCUAUUACAUUUAUCACAUUGAAUUUGUUUCCCCUUCAUUUCAUCCAAUUACCUUUUCUACAACUGCAAAAUACAUCAGAGCUGUCUCAACACAUUUUUUUAUGGAUGUUAACUUACUAUUCUCUUCUUGAUCUUCUGUCAAGAUGUGCUUUAAUUAAAAUGUUCAUGUAACUUGUUCAAGUUUAUCCUUCACUCCUUCAAUAUCCAGAUAAUUGAUGGGUUUGCUUUUAAAAGUGGAAUAGAGCAGUCCCAAGAACUGGGCUAGGACUGAAAUUCUGUAGGUGUAAAAACUUCUAAGCAGGUUGCUAUAAUGUCAGAAUUUAGGAUAUUAUGGUCAGAGGGCUGUCAGCAUUACUAUUACAAAUAUCUUUAUCUGGUGUUUUGCUAUUGAAAUUCCCAUAGGAAAUACAGAUAUAAAUGGCCUCAAUCAGCCAAUCUUUUUUCAAAUUAAAAAGACAUAUGGUUUCAUAGUGUGAAAAGACAGUUGGUGCUGCUCACUCAGCAGCUCUGGGACAUUGACACUGUGGCAGCUCCUGGAAGACAGCAAGUUUUCCCUCUGCUUUCCUAUAGAGCCUGACCUGUGGGCUCCCCACACGAUGGCACCUCCGGGAUUUCUUUUCCAGUGGGAGUGUUUGUGAAGUUUGUGUGCACAGUGCAGGGAUGGUGCUGCUGUUUUCUCAACUGCAUCUCAUGUUUCUUUCAGCUCCUUACCCCCAUGUGCAAAUCACGGUGUUAGGCAAGAUGUGUGGGUUGCUUGUAUGUGUUGUUCAUAUUCAAGACAAGCUUUUUUUAGCUGGGGUGAUGUGAGGCCAGAAGAUGGAUUAAGACAGAAUGAAUGGAGGGAUUCAGAAAUCUGUGAUUGGUAAAGGGUUGUCAUUAAAUGGGAGAGUUUUAAUUGAACUCUGCAGCCUUGGCUGCUUUCCUCCAAACGACUCACCAAUCCUGACAGUAACAAAUAAGGUAAAAAUCUUUGUGACAGGUAUCUUGCAGAUUUCAUGGUGGCUUCCCUGUGCCAGUGAUGAGCAGUGGGCUGCUGGGUGAGCUAUCCAAGCUGCUUGGCUGUACAGUUGUUUUGCCAGAUGUACACAAAGCUAUUGAGAAAGCACAUUGGAAUAAGGAAAGAAAACACUGGGGGCUGUUUCAGCCAAAUGACCUUGAGAGAAACAUCUACAACACUUUACACAAGUGCACAAAACCAGCUCCUCCUUAAGAAAGGGAAAAGAGUAGAUGUCCAAAGGCUCAGCUGUAGGAGACUUUCCAGCUAUCAGGGUGAAACUUCUCUGUUCUUUAGGGCCAGCCUGAGGAAACAAGAAAAGGUAUAGGAAAAAGGAUUAACUUCUUCAAAUGUCUUUAUUGCCUUCUUCUCAGCAUAUGUUCUUUAAGGGAGAUGAUGCAGGAGACUAAUUACUGAGGUUAAUGUUCUGAAAUCCUUCCUUACUCAAGGCUAUUUAUGUGGUUGAGGAGAUGUUAAUACCUGCAAUCAGUCACAGAUUCACGGGGGAAGGUGCUGACCUUUUGAAGACUACGGGGCUUAGGCCCCCGAAUUCAACAGUCAGGUGUUGUCUGAAAUCCCCUCUUUUUAUUUCAACCAUCACAGAAAUCCCAAAAGGGUUGGUUGCAACAAAACAUUUGCAAUAUGAAUGCAAGAAAAUGAAAAUCCUGACUUAAAAAGGGAUGCAUCUCCCCAUCUGUUCUAUGCUUAUUUAGAAACUUUCAGGUUUUGGGGAGAUGUUGGCAGCUUCUCUCAUCAGGGAGGAUUCCAGGUGGUUAUUGCUCUGCCCUGAGUUCUCUCCGAGGAAGGCGCAGAGGAGGAACUCUGCUGCUCUGGGAUUAUGUGCUGCUGGAGAAGAAAUAAAACUGCCUUAAGGCAGGCUCACAAUGCAACAGCCUAAAGGAAGAUCUGGCAGGUGUCCAAAAUGUCUGCUCCCCUCUGCUCUCCUGAUGCUUCAUCAAUCAUAUCACCUGUGUGUCAUGAUUGUCAGCAUGGAGAAAAAUAUUUGGAGUGUUCUGAUUUCCUCUUACACUGGCAGGGUGGUUUGUUACUAGGAAAAGUGCCUUUUUAUGGAUAUUAGUUCCUUAAAUCAGGAGUAUCCACCUGGGAAGAGAGCCCACAGAAACAAACCCACUGUAGUAAAAGUCCGUGAAGCUCUGCAAUUUAUACUUUCUACAGGAAGAUGAAUAUGGAUACGUUAAUCCACAUAAACAUACACAUGAUAACAUCAGUUAGACAAAAAGGUGAACCACAUUCAGAACAACCUGGUUUUCAUGCAUGCAGACCUCUCUGGGUUCCAGGUGAGUUUUCUUUGGAGCUGUGGAAGCUCCUGACUCCAGAGAGUCAGCAGAGCUCUCAUGGCUCUGGUUGCCAAUGACUGCCCCUCAAACAAGACAUAGAACCUGCAUUGUCCAUAGGAAAAGCCAGCAAACUCCAAAAAGCCAGACUCCCAGAUCUUGCAGAUGUCUCUAACCCACCAAGAAGCAGCAAGACAAGGGUACAAGGACCAUUUAUUUUCCUCCUCACAGGCCACCUUUGAGCAUUGAUAGAGCAGUAGCAGAGGAAAAGUGCUUGAAGCAGUUAAGAACAAGCCAGGGAAACUCAGCCUGCACCUUGUCUCCUUAAACUACCUCAGCUCUAGGGCAUCACACCAACAGAGCCUCAAGUGUCUGAGUCAGCAGGACAGCAAUGUCAGCACUGGCAUUCCUCACCUCAGAGCUGCUGAACCGAGCACCUUCACACGAGUGUUUCUUUUCCUCUGGGAGGUUUAUCCCACACAGUUAAUUUAAUGAUUAAAUAUUUGACCAUUUGUUCUGCUACAUAAAUAAACAGAUUUUAGGUGAAUUAUAUGGAAAAAUACUAUUUUCAUAUUUCCAAAUUUUUCAUAAAGUAAUAUUAGAUAAGCCACCACUUGGACUGAGGGCAAAUGUAGCACAUCAAUAAUUUUGAAACAUUUUAAAUAUCAGAAAUGUGUAAAAUGAAGAUUGUAUUCAAAGUUUUUUUCCCACCCUUUUAGCUGCCCUCAAAGCCUUGAGCAAGGGAAUAAGUGUAGCUUCAAAUGGGAACUUUAGUAGAAUUCAAUUUUAAAUUCACCAGUUUCUAAUUAUAUCCUUUCUGUGGCAAAGUUCAAAUGCCUGGCUCUCUCUGUGAUUCCCUGGCUGUAGGCAGCAUUCACCAUGUACUUGUCCAGAGAUUAGAGGCAUCUCAUAAUACUGAUUUUGGUGGUGCAGCUUCCUUGUUUCCUUCUUACUUGAGAGCAAAACCAGAUCUUGUUCUGAGGAUCUCUGACAGUGGCUAUUCCAUGUCUGGCAGUCACUACAGUCUAAUUCUGCUGGACGUAAUUACCAUAAUUUAUUCCCUGUAGAUGGUUUCUAAAAAUAGAGGUAGGUAUGAUCCUUGCCCUACAAGGCUCACACAAAAGACAGAGAAUUAAAAAGACUGGCAGAUAGGAGAGAAAAAGUAAAAGAAGCAACAGCUAUGGCAAGUACGCAGAGAGAGAUAAAUUAAAUCCAAAUUAGUCCUUUGGUGUGAUAGUGAGACUGAAUAAGCAAGUUUAUUAAAGAGAAAAAAUAUAAUUCAGCUAAAAGAUAGAGAUGCAUGAAUAGCUCUGAGAAUAACACACAGAACCACAGCAUCCUAAUGGUAUAAACUCCACACUAAAAUUGAAAAAGCCUUUCCUUCAGUUCAAAUCACUUGUCUCUGGUGUCACCCUGUCAGUGUGAGCCAGUAAGUAGCUUUGUCCUUCCUCAGGAACCCCAUCUCUCUCCUACAACUGACUUUAAAAUGCAUCAUUAUCUCAUUUCCUUGUCACAUCCCAAAUUGUUUUUAGAGUCUGUUGGGAUCUCCACAGCUGAUGAAAAAGCUGUGAGCACAGUCCUUGAUGUCCAGGCUCCUCAACAGACCUUGGAUCACACUUCGCCUUCCAGGCUGGAUGCUCUUGUUGCACAAGGAUUUCCUGAGGGCUUUACUCAUCUUGUUGCUUCCUGUAAGUCUCUGUGGAUGUGUCCUUCGCAGACAGCUCAGCCACGUGCUCAUGUUUAUGUGCAGCACAUUUUACCUGGUGGGACACCUGGUGUCUCCAGCACAGGGAGUCCUUCUGCCUUCCUUGCCUUUGGAACAGGCUGCUUUUGGGGAAAAGUCUAUGUCAUAAGAAAGCCUCCAUGGAUGGGGAAAAGAUAUCAAUAAAACAAUUUAUUGCUCCAAUUCUGAAAUUCCCCUGCAACCUUUACCCUAAUAUAUCACUGUGCUUGCUAGUAUAUCAGUGGUUGACUUGCCCUAUAAAGCCACGGAAUUUUCUCCUUUCCUUUGUGUGCAGGAAUUUCUAGAUAAUCUG